RNAcentral lists this ribosomal RNA (372 nucleotides) under uncultured organism. RNAcentral's name for it is "bacterial SSU rRNA". It matches the Rfam family "Bacterial small subunit ribosomal RNA", at positions 524 to 897 of the family's 1533-position model. The record is from RNAcentral.
CUAGAGGGGGCUAAGCGUUGUUCGGAAUUACUGGGCGUAAAGGGCGUGUAGCGGAAUGCAAGUCAGAUGUGAAAUUCCAAGGCUCAACCUUGGCGCUGCAUCUGAAACUGUGUUUCUUGAGUGAUGGAGAGGAAAGCGGAAUUCCUAGUGUAGCGGUGAAAUGCGUAGAUAUUAGGAGGAACACCAGUGGCGAAGGCGGCUUUCUGGACAUUAACUGACGCUGAGGCGCGAAAGCGUGGGAGCAAACAGGAUUAGAUACCCUGGUAGUCCACGCUGUAAACGAUGGAUACUAGGUGUAGGAGGUAUCGACCCCUUCUGUGCCGCAGUUAACACAAUAAGUAUCCCACCUGGGGAGUACGGCCGCAAGGUUGA